AGCAGCCGCGGUAAUUCCAGCUCCAAUAGCGUAUAUUAAAGUUGUUGCAGUUAAAAAGCUCGUAGUUGAAUUUCGGGGUUAGUAGGUCGGUCAUGCCACUGGUAUGUACUGGUCUCACUGAUUCCUCCUUCCUGAUGAACCGUAAUGCCAUUAAUUUGGUGUUGCGGGGAGACUGGACUGUUACUUUGAAAAAAUUAGAGUGUUUAAAGCAGGCUAACGCUUGAAUACAUUAGCAUGGAAUAAUGAAAUAGGACGUUCGAUCCUAUUUUGUUGGUUUCUAGGAUUGACGUAAUGAUUAAUAGGGAUAGUUGGGGGCAUUAGUAUUCAAUUGUCAGAGGUGAAAUUCUUGGAUUUAUUGAAGACUAACUACUGCGAAAGCAUUUGCCAAGGAUGUUUUCAUUAAUCAAGAACGAAAGUUAGGGGAUCGAAGACGAUCAGAUACCGUCGUAGUCUUAACCAUAAACUAUGCCGACUAGGGAUCGGAUGAUGUUAAUUUUUAAUGACUCAUUCGGCGCCUUAC
RNAcentral lists this ribosomal RNA (520 nucleotides) under uncultured Glomus. Its description in RNAcentral is "SSU rRNA". It matches the Rfam family "Eukaryotic small subunit ribosomal RNA", at positions 569 to 1091 of the family's 1831-position model. The record is from RNAcentral. Lineage: Eukaryota; Fungi; Glomeromycota; Glomeromycetes; Glomerales; Glomeraceae.